This 328-nucleotide ribosomal RNA is filed under the name uncultured eukaryote. Its description in RNAcentral is "partial 18S ribosomal RNA". It matches the Rfam family "Eukaryotic small subunit ribosomal RNA", at positions 1470 to 1796 of the family's 1831-position model. The record is from RNAcentral.
CCCUUAGACGUUCUGGGCCGCACGCGCGCUACACUGACCAGUGCAACAAGCAUCCGUCCUUGGCCGACAGGCUCGGGCAAUCUUUGAACGCUGGUCGUGAUGGGGAUAGACUUUUGCAAUUUUUGGUCUUCAACGAGGAAUUCCUAGUAAACGCAAGUCAUCAACUUGCAUUGAUUACGUCCCUGCCCUUUGUACACACCGCCCGUCGCUCCUACCGAUUGAAUGGUCCGGUGAAGCGUUCGGACCGUGGCCUUUGGACGGUUCGCCGUCUGUUGGCUGCGGGAAGUUCGUUAAACCUUAUCAUUUAGAGGAAGGAGAANUCGUANCA